Branchiostoma floridae (Florida lancelet) is the source of this 328-nucleotide long non-coding RNA. RefSeq lists it as uncharacterized. Lineage: Eukaryota; Metazoa; Chordata; Leptocardii; Amphioxiformes; Branchiostomatidae. The transcript has 2 exons. The record is from RefSeq and is a predicted model, not a curated record.
UUAGCUAAAGCAUAUUAUGGGUUAUGUGGGGGAGAAAGUGUCCGGAUAGUCCCAGUCGGACGUUGGGGAUGCUUGGGUGUCGUACUGGAGUCUACACUUUCUGCUGUUGUAUCUGCCUGGCGGUAUAGCGUACACCACACUGAAACACUGAACUAAUUCUGUAAAUUUGAAAGUGAAAUGGCGGACGCAAAGGCGGCGAAGAGGAAGAGGGACUUGAACAAGCUGGGGUUAACGAUCGCUACCCCGGCAGACGAGCAGAACGCUGGAAAAUCGGAUACAAGUACAACCAAGCAGGAAGUAAAAGAGCAGGCAAGUGAGGUUGUCCCAA